RNAcentral lists this ribosomal RNA (797 nucleotides) under uncultured rumen protozoa. RNAcentral's name for it is "bacterial SSU rRNA". It matches the Rfam family "Eukaryotic small subunit ribosomal RNA", at positions 975 to 1831 of the family's 1831-position model. The record is from RNAcentral.
CUAUAUGAAAGAAAAAGAGGGGAUAAAACCACCUCACUCUCGGAUCUCUCUAAAACAUCGCGCAUAGGGAGGGAAGAAAUUCCCCAUUUCAUCCCUUAGAGAAAUCAAAUUUUUGGGUUUUGGGGGAGUAUGUUGCCAAGAUGAAACUAAAGAAAUUGCGGAAGGGCACCACCCAGAAGUGGAGCCUUGCGGCUUAAUUUGGCUUCAACCCGGGGAAACUUUCCCAGGUCCCAACCAUAGUAAAGGAUUGACAGAUUGAUAGCUCUUUCUUGGUUUUUAUGGGUGGUGGGGCAUGGCCGUUUUUAGUUGGUGGAAGUGAUUUGUUUGGUUUAAUUCCGAUAACGACGAGACCCUUAACCCUGCUUAACUAGUUUAUUACAUUUCAUGUAAUUUGACUUCUUAGAGGGACUAUGUAUUUAAAGACGGGGGGGGUUUGAGGCAAUAACAGGUAAAAGGAACCCUUAUAUGUCCUGGGCUGCUGCGCGUGGCUACACUGAUGCAUACAACAAGUGCCUAGCUAGACAUAGUAUGGCAAUCUGGAAUAUGCAUCGUGAUGGGGAAAUAGAUCUUUGCAAUUAUAGAUCUUGAACGAGGAAUUCCUAGUAAGUGCAAGUCAUCAUCUUGCAUUGAUUAUGUCCCUGCCCUUUGUACACACCGCCCGUCGCUCCUACCGAUACCGGGUAAUCCGGUGAACCUUUUGGACCUCGCAAGAGGAAAAAUAAGUAAAUCAAAUCACCUAGAGUAAUCUAGAUCACUCGCGAGGUUCUGAGCUCGAAUCACUUGCCCGCCUUUCACCC